Molecule: ribosomal RNA, 37 nt
Filed under: Simplicillium minatense
Lineage: Eukaryota; Fungi; Ascomycota; Sordariomycetes; Hypocreales; Cordycipitaceae
Description: partial 28S ribosomal RNA
Source: RNAcentral
UACCCGCUGAACUUAAGCAUAUCAAUAAGCGGAGGAU